RNAcentral lists this ribosomal RNA (656 nucleotides) under uncultured eukaryote. Its description in RNAcentral is "bacterial SSU rRNA". It matches the Rfam family "Eukaryotic small subunit ribosomal RNA", at positions 4 to 565 of the family's 1831-position model. The record is from RNAcentral.
CUGGUUGAUCCUGCCAGUAGUCAUAUGCUUGUCUCAAAGAUUAAGCCAUGCAUGUCCAAGUAUAAACCUUUUUAUACGGUGAAACUGCGAAUGGCUCAUUAAAUCAGUAAUAGUUUAUUUGAUUGUGCACAUACUACAUGGAUAACUGUAGUAAUUCUAGAGCUAAUACAUGCAAAAGGAACCGAUUGUGAGGAGUCCAGAUCUGCUCUUUCUUCUUCGGGGGGAAGAGUGGUUUGGGAACCACUUUUCACGAGAGGUUUGCAUUUAUUUGGUUCCAAAAAACCAAUUGCAAGUCUUUUUCCUUUCUUCGGAGAGGUGAAAGGUUUGUAAAACGAUUUUUGGUGAUUCAGAAUAACUGUGCAGAUCGUAUGGCCUUUGAGCCGACGACGAAUCAUUCAAAUUUCUGCCCUAUCAACUUUCGAUGGUAGGAUAGUGGCCUACCAUAGUGAUAACGGGUAACGGAGAAUUAGGGUUUGAUUCCGGAGAGGGGGCCUGAGAGAUGGCCACUACUUCUAAGGAAGGCAGCAGGCGCGCAAAUUGUUCAAUCCUGACACAGGGAGACAGUGACAAGAAAUAACAAUGCAGGUCCUCCAAAAGGUCUUGCAAUGGAUGAGUACAAUUUAAACCCUUUAAUGAGGAACAAGUCACCAUCUGGU